This 494-nucleotide ribosomal RNA is filed under the name uncultured bacterium. RNAcentral describes it as "bacterial SSU rRNA". It matches the Rfam family "Bacterial small subunit ribosomal RNA", at positions 20 to 518 of the family's 1533-position model. The record is from RNAcentral.
UGGCUCAGGAUGAACGCUGGCGGCGUGCUUAAUACAUGCAAGUCGAACGAAGUUUUCUCGCCGAAGUUUACUUCAUUGAGAAAACUUAGUGGCGGACGGGUGAGUAACGCGUGGGUAACCUGCCUUACACAGGGGGAUAACAGUUAGAAAUGACUGCUAAUACCGCAUAAGCGCACGAGAUCGCAUGAUCAUGUGUGAAAAGAUUUAUCGGUGUAAGAUGGACCCGCGUCUGAUUAGCUAGUUGGUGAGGUAACGGCCCACCAAGGCGACGAUCAGUAGCCGGCCUGAGAGGGUGAACGGCCACAUUGGGACUGAGACACGGCCCAAACUCCUACGGGAGGCAGCAGUAGGGAAUAUUGGACAAUGGGGGAAACCCUGAUCCCAGCGACGCCGCGUGAGUGAAGAAGUAUUUCGGUACGUAAAGCUCUAUCAGCAGGGAAGAAAAUGACGGUACCUGACUAAGAAGCACCGGCUAAAUACGUGCCAGCCGCCGC